This 378-nucleotide unclassified non-coding RNA is filed under the name plant metagenome. RNAcentral describes it as "partial contains 5.8S ribosomal RNA, internal transcribed spacer 2, and large subunit ribosomal RNA". The stretch from base 1 to 105 matches the Rfam family "5.8S ribosomal RNA", at positions 50 to 154 of the family's 154-position model. The record is from RNAcentral.
GAAAUGCGAUAAGUAAUGUGAAUUGCAGAAUUCAGUGAAUCAUCGAAUCUUUGAACGCACCUUGCGCUCCUUGGUAUUCCUUGGAGCAUGCCUGUUUGAGUAUCAUGAAAUCUUCAAAGUAAAUCUUUUGUUAACUCAAUUGGUUUCUACUUUGGUAUUGGAGGUCUUUGCAGCUUCACACCUGCUCCUCUUUGUUCAUUAGCUGGAUCUCAGUGUUAUGCUUGGUUCCACUCUGCGUGAUAAGUUAUCUAUCGCUGAGGACACUGUAAAAGGUGGCCAAGGUAAAUGCAGAUGAACCGCUUCUAAUAGUCCAUUGACUUGGAAAAUACUUUUAUGAUCUGAUCUCAAAUCAGGUAGGACUACCCGCUGAACUUAAGC